This 497-nucleotide ribosomal RNA is filed under the name uncultured bacterium. Its description in RNAcentral is "partial 16S ribosomal RNA". It matches the Rfam family "Bacterial small subunit ribosomal RNA", at positions 28 to 507 of the family's 1533-position model. The record is from RNAcentral.
GAUGAACGCUGGCGGCGUGCCUAAUACCUGCAAGUCGAGCGAACAGACGAGGAGCUUGCUCCUCUGACGUUAGCGGCGGACGGGUGAGUAACACGUGGAUAACCUACCUAUAAGACUGGGAUAACUUCGGGAAACCGGAGCUAAUACCGGAUAAUAUAUUGAACCGCAUGGUUCAAUAGUGAAAGACGGUUUUGCUGUCACUUAUAGAUGGAUCCGCGCCGCAUUAGCUAGUUGGUAAGGUAACGGCUUACCAAGGCAACGAUGCGUAGCCGACCUGAGAGGGUGAUCGGCCACACUGGAACUGAGACACGGUCCAGACUCCUGCGGGAGGCAGCAGUAGGGAAUCUUCCGCAAUGGGCGAAAGCCUGACGGAGCAACGCCGCGUGAGUGAUGAAGGUCUUCGGAUCGUAAAACUCUGUUAUUAGGGAAGAACAAAUGUGUAAGUAACUAUGCACGUCUUGACGGUACCUAAUCAGAAAGCCACGGCUAACUACGUG